RNAcentral lists this ribosomal RNA (494 nucleotides) under uncultured bacterium. Its description in RNAcentral is "partial 16S ribosomal RNA". It matches the Rfam family "Bacterial small subunit ribosomal RNA", at positions 28 to 507 of the family's 1533-position model. The record is from RNAcentral.
GACGAACGCUGGCGGCGUGCUUAACACAUGCAAGUCGAACGGAAAGGCCUGCUUUCCCUUGUGGAUUGCGGGUACUCGAGUGGCGAACGGGUGAGUAACACGUGAGUGAUCUGCCCCCAACUUGGGUAUAAGCCUGGGAAACUGGGUCUAAUUCCCGAUAGGACUGCAGGGUGGUGCCUGUGGUGGAAAACGAUUUUCUAGUGGUUGGGGAUGAGCUCGCGGCCUAUCAGCUUGUUGGUGGGGUAAUGGCCUACCAAGGCGGCGACGGGUAGCCGGCCUGAGAGGGUGGACGGCCACAUUGGGACUGGGAUACGGCCCAGACUCCUACGGGAGGCAGCAGUGGGGAAUAUUGCACAAUGGGCGGAAGCCUGAUGCAGCGACGCAGCGUGGGGGAUGACGGCCUUCGGGUUGUAAACUCCUUUCGACCGCGAGGAAGCCACCUGGUUGGAAGGGUGGUGACGGUAGUGGUAGAAGAAGCACCGGCUAACUACGUG